GGAAAACUAGAGGGGGUUAGCGCGAAAAACACCUUCGCUUUCCCCAAUCUCUCUCCCGGUCGGCGAACCCUCUCGACGGCGGCGGCGGAGGAGGAGCCAUGGGAGGCCACGGCGGGCUGAACAUCCUGCCGCAGAAGCGGUGGAACGUCUACAACUUUGACAACCGCGAGAAGGUCCGCCGCGACGAGGCCGAGGCGGCCCGGGAAGAGCAGCUCCAGCGCGAGGCCGUCCGCCGCCGCGACUCCGACCUCCGCCUCGCCGCGCUCCGCCGCAACCGCGGCCUCCAGUCCGCCGACGCGGCGCCCCUCCCUCCCCGGCCGCCCACCUACGCCGCGGAGCAGUGCCCCGCGGAUCCGGCCGACCCGUCCCCCGCCGCCGACGACUCAGACGGCGGCCACAUCAACCUCUUCUCCGCCCGCGGCGGCGGCGGUGGUGCAACCGACUUCGCCGUGCUCGCCUCCGCCGACGGUGGGAGGGGCGCCGCCAGGGAGCGGGAGCCUCCCGCGAACCCUAACCCUAAGAAGCGGAAGAGGAAGGAGGAGGAGGUGAGGGCGGUGGGGCCCGACGAGGAGAAGUACAGGCUCGGGUAUGGCCUCGCCGGGAAGGGCGUGGCGGCGCCGUGGUACAUGUCCAAGCCGUCGGCUUCAUCCUCCAUGGAGAGGAAGGAUCGCGAGGCGGGAGAAGGGAGUGUGGGGAAGAAGAAUGGUGGGAAGAAGAGCAUUGAGGAGCUUAGGGAGGAGAGGAGGAAGAGGGAGGCCAAGGAGAAGGAGCGAGAGCGAGCGCUGCUCGGCGUUCCAUCGAGGAAGGAGAAGUAUUCGGAACGGGGACGAUCGUCGAGAUGGGCACGGUGAUGUGGGGAUGCACUUAAUAUAUUUGUGCAGGCUCUUCGAAAGAUGUUGAUUUGAAGAACAAUAUAUUUAUAUUCCGCAGAAACAAUUGGAGAUGACUUGAUGAAGGAGAUUCCAGAGGUUUUAUAUGGCAAGAAGAGCCAAGGUGCUAAGCUGUUCAGGCGCCAUUGCCGCCGAGGACAUCCCAGUAUUAGCAAUUUGCAUCAGAGUUAUCUUUUGUAAAACCAACCCUGGCUAAUGUAAACUAAUGUAAUGCAAUGGAGCUUUCAACUCUGGUAGAAAUUUCAUUGUUUGCUUGUAAAGUUUAUCAAAAAAUUGCAUGGUGGACAGACUCAACUCUCAAGCACCUCUAGAUUGAUCAAGGUUGGAGAAAACUUAUUUUC
Oryza sativa Japonica Group (Japanese rice) is the source of this 1231-nucleotide RNA transcript. RefSeq lists it as uncharacterized. NCBI's taxonomy places the organism in Eukaryota, Viridiplantae, Streptophyta, Magnoliopsida, Poales, Poaceae. The record is from RefSeq and is a predicted model, not a curated record.